This 443-nucleotide ribosomal RNA is filed under the name uncultured bacterium. RNAcentral describes it as "partial 16S ribosomal RNA". It matches the Rfam family "Bacterial small subunit ribosomal RNA", at positions 338 to 795 of the family's 1533-position model. The record is from RNAcentral.
CCUACGGGCGGCAGCAGUGGGGAAUAUUGGGCAAUGGGCGCAAGCCUGACCCAGCAACGCCGCGUGAAGGAAGAAGGCUUUCGGGUUGUACACUUCUUUUAUCAGGGACGAAGAAAUUGACGGUACCUGAUGAAUAAGCCACGGCUAACUACGUGCCAGCAGCCGCGGUAAUACGUAGGUGGCAAGCGUUAUCCGGAUUUAAUGGGUGUAAAGGUCGUGUAGGCGGGAGUGCAAGUCAGAUGUGAAAACUAUGGGCUCAACCCAUAACCUGCAUUUGAUACUGUACUUCUUGAGGUCUGGAGAGGCGAGCGGAAUUCCGUGUGUAGCGGUGAAAUGCGUAGAUAUACGGAGGAACACCAGUGGUGAAGGCGGAUUGCUGGACAGUAAUUGACGCUGAGGCGCGAAAGCGUGGGGAGCAAACAGGAUUAGAUACCCUUGUAGUC